RNAcentral lists this ribosomal RNA (490 nucleotides) under uncultured bacterium. RNAcentral describes it as "partial 16S ribosomal RNA". It matches the Rfam family "Bacterial small subunit ribosomal RNA", at positions 30 to 507 of the family's 1533-position model. The record is from RNAcentral.
AUUGAACGCUGGCGGCAGGCCUAACACAUGCCAGUCGAACGGUAACAGGAAGAAGCUUGCUUCUUUGCUGACGAGUGGCGGACGGGUGAGUAAUGUCUGGGAAACUGCCUGAUGGAGGGGGAUAACUACUGGAAACGGUAGCUAAUACCGCAUAACGUCGCAAGACCAAAGAGGGGGACCUUCGGGCCUCUUGCCAUCGGAUGUGCCCAGAUGGGAUUAGCUAGUAGGUGGGGUAACGGCUCACCUAGGCGACGAUCCCUAGCUGGUCUGAGAGGAUGACCAGCCACACUGGAACUGAGACACGGUCCAGACUCCUACGGGAGGCAGCAGUGGGGAAUAUUGCACAAUGGGCGCAAGCCUGAUGCAGCCAUGCCGCGUGUAUGAAGAAGGCCUUCGGGUUGUAAAGUACUUUCAGCGGGGAGGAAGGGAGUAAAGUUAAUACCUUUACUCAUUGACGGUACCCGCAGAAGAAGCACCGGCUAACUCCGUG